AGUAUAACCAGGCAGAGGUUAACCGUGAUCACCAAGGCGGUUCCUCCAAGGCGAGACUCGCUCAUUGCACUUCAAAUGGGCUGACCCUUGCGAUUACCCCAAAUGUGGGUAACUCGAGUGCGUAAUUUAUGUUAAAUUAUGCAGUGUGUAUUC
Molecule: small nuclear RNA, 153 nt
Filed under: Tigriopus californicus
Lineage: Eukaryota; Metazoa; Arthropoda; Copepoda; Harpacticoida; Harpacticidae
Description: U1 spliceosomal RNA
Rfam family: U1 spliceosomal RNA
About the family: U1 is a small nuclear RNA (snRNA) component of the spliceosome (involved in pre-mRNA splicing).
Source: Rfam by way of RNAcentral